GACGAACGCUGGCGGCGUGCUUAACACAUGCAAGUCGUACGGUAAGGCCCUUUCGGGGGUACGCGAGUGGCGCACGGGUGAGUAACACGGGUGUAACCUGCCCACCACUUUGGGAUAACGCUAGGAAACUGGUGCUAAUACUGUAUAUGUACUCCUGCUGCAUGGUGGGGGGUGGAAAGCUCCGGCCGUUGUGGAUGGACUCGCGGCCUAUCAGCUUGUUGGUGGGGUAGUGGCCUACCAAGGCGGCGACGGGUAGCCGGCCUGAGAGGGUGAGCGGCCACAUUGGGACUGAGAUUCGGCCCAGACUCCUACGGGAGGCAGCAGGGGGGAAUAUUGCACAAUGGGCGCCAGCCUGAUGCAGCCACGCCGCGGGCGGGAGGACGGCCUUCGGGUUGUAAACCGCUUUCAGCAGGGACGAAGCUUUUUGUGACGGUACCUACAGAAGAAGCACCGGCUAACUACGUG
RNAcentral lists this ribosomal RNA (465 nucleotides) under uncultured bacterium. Its description in RNAcentral is "partial 16S ribosomal RNA". It matches the Rfam family "Bacterial small subunit ribosomal RNA", at positions 28 to 507 of the family's 1533-position model. The record is from RNAcentral.